GAUGAAGAACGCAGCAAAAUGCGAUAAGUAAUGUGAAUUGCAGAAUUCAGUGAAUCAUCGAAUCUUUGAACGCACAUUGCGCCCGGCAGUACUCUGCCGGGCAUGCCUGUUCGAGCGUCAUUUCAACCCUCAAGCCCUGCUUGGUGUUGGGGCCCCACGGCUGCCGUGGGCCCUGAAAGGAAGUGGCGGGCUCGCUACAACUCCGAGCGUAGUAAUUCAUUAUCUCGCUUAGGGCGUUGGGCGGCGCUCCAGCCGUUAAAGAACCAUCUUUAACUCAAGGUUGACCUCGGAUCAGGUAGGAAUACCCGCUGAACUUAAGCAUAUCAAUAAGCGGAGGA
RNAcentral lists this unclassified non-coding RNA (338 nucleotides) under soil metagenome. RNAcentral's name for it is "partial contains 5.8S ribosomal RNA, internal transcribed spacer 2, and large subunit ribosomal RNA". The stretch from base 1 to 120 matches the Rfam family "5.8S ribosomal RNA", at positions 35 to 154 of the family's 154-position model. The record is from RNAcentral.